Molecule: ribosomal RNA, 253 nt
Filed under: uncultured bacterium
Lineage: Bacteria
Description: partial 16S ribosomal RNA
Rfam family: Bacterial small subunit ribosomal RNA
Source: RNAcentral
UACGUAGGGUCCGAGCGUUGUCCGGAAUUACUGGGCGUAAAGAGCUCGUAGGUGGUUUGUCGCGUUGUUCGUGAAAACUCACAGCUCAACUGUGGGCGUGCGGUCGAUACGGGCAGACUGGAGUACUGCAGGGGAGACUGGAAUUCCUGGUGUAGCGGUGGAAUGCGCAGAUAUCAGGAGGAACACCGGUGGCGAAGGCGGGUCUCUGGGCAGUAACUGACGCUGAGGAGCGAAAGCGUGGGGAGCGAACAGG